CAUCAUUACUAAUGAGUCUUUCUUCUUUUUCCAGUAAGAAAGUAAUUGCAGGCGUGUUAUGAUUUUCUUCCCUCUCACAACAAGCAAACAUAGUUUUCUCUCAUUGUGUACUCCAGAACUUGAGUCAUUUGAGAAGCAGCAAGCAGAGCUCUGCACUGGUUUGAGGAGGAAGAGGUACUGCUCCUUCCUAAGCAGCCCUGGCCUCAUCUGGAAUGAUGAUCUGGAAUGCAGUGGGAUUAGCCAACACUCACUGAUUUAAUAUCAGAUCAGCACCUUUUUCUUAAACAGCCCUGGUAUUCCAGAAAUCUUCACACUCUGCCUUUAUCUCACCAAAAUUUGCCAAAGAAAGAGUGCCCUCUGUAUUGCCUGAACUCACACCCUGAGGAAUUUAAUACCUGCACCUGUGUGAGCCAGUUCUCGUCUUGUGAUGGGAUAAUUUUUGUAUCUGGUACUGUUUAUUCACAUCCAUUGUGAAUUAACAGUAAUUCCCACUUAUUUGUUGGGAAGAGCUUCUCUGAUAAGAAAGAAGAGUAGUUCGAAAAAAUAAGAAGAAAUCGCAAUAAUUGAUGGGAAGAGAGCUCACAGUUGGUCCUGCAGCAGUAGGAGAUAUUCCUGUUUUUCUCUAGAGAUUAGCAUCAGCCUCAGGCAAAGUCCAUUUUCCUUUGUCUUACAAACACCAUUCGACUAUAACAUUGUACCUGCGGUGAAGCUUUUAAGGCACCUAUGGCACAAUAGUUAAAGCAGCUCACUGGAAGCCUGGGGAUGGUGACUGUACUUAAAAUUCAGUAGGGAGUCUGCAUAAGAAAGAGCAUCGACCUUCUUGGCAGCCCAUACUGAUCAGUGGCUGGGCUGCUGUGUUGCAUCCGCUGGGAUUUUUUCAGUGUAUGGGGGCAAAGUACUGGGAAUCAUGGCAGGAGUGGAUGCUAUGGUUGUCUAGGAGGUUUUUUUACCUCAGUCAUGGAAAAGUCAUGUUUUCUUGCAGGUGACUGAAUUCUCAGCAACAAGGGAAAGCUGAGAAGAUGUACAUUGUUUUGAUGUCUCAAAGCCUGCACAGCUAUGAAAAGUAGCCUCAUUGUUAAAGACAGGGAGUCACACUGCUUCCAUGAGAGCUUAUCUAGCAUUGAGGGAACUGAGAAUAUGCGAGGAAUGAAUUGAGGCAGGAGAAGCAAGAUUGCCCCAAAAUACUGUUCUCAAUAAGGAUAUCCUUAUUGCUCUGCAUAGCUUUCUACAUGUAUUAGGUUUGAAUCUUUUCUACUGAAAUGUGUCGAGUGCAAAAUCGUUUUAGUAGGAGAAAAAUUUAUCCCAUUCUGUGGAUUCUAUUGGUCUGCAUAAAGAAAAACCUGAGGGCAUGGCAUGAAAUUGUGGAAGUAAUGACAAAUCUGUUUUCCUGCUCAGUGUUUUCAAAAAGUAUUUGUAAGGACAGAUGGUGGGCAGCAGCAGAACAUGUUCAGUUUUAUCAAGACAUUUGGCUAACAAGCACAGACUGAAAUGGAUUUCUUUCCAUCUUAACUUAAUAAUUUUAAUUAGAGGCAAAAGGUGUGGUAGGCUCAUUGUCUGGAGGCGUAUGUGCAAUAUUGUCUUGGUUGGGCAGGACUGGGUGGGAGAGAAUAUCACUACCUCUAAUGAAGGGUGGUGCAUAUCUGUGCAAUCUCAGGUUUUUUUAUUGUCUGGUAAUCUAAAAAAUGCAAAUUCCAAAUGUGCUCUUGCACAACAUACACCGUGAUACACAGAGGCUACUUUCAGUUAGUCAGAGAAUAAAAACAUGGCUACAAAAUGUGUGCAAAUAAUACUGUGCCACUGCAGAAGAAAGGCUUUUUAGCAAGUGGUGGGACAUGCAUUUAUUAUCUUGAGGGGAAGUUUUCAAAGCUACCUAUGUAACUUAGAGGUCUCUGUAACUCAUUCACUAUUCAAAUUCUUACAAAAAUCUUACUUAUUAACAAGUCAUUUUGAACUUCAUGUAAUCUCUCUGUAAAGACAUCAAAGUAUUCUGGAAGUGGUAAUUAGGGACCAUAUGCUCUAACCAGGUCUAAUGGUGUUCAUUUACCCUACUUCUCUGGCCAUAUUCUAGCUUCUUUGUUAAGUUGCUUGCACAGAUGACGUGCAUUUUGUCCUUUACCAGCUCUCCAAGCCCUAUCCCAGGAACUGCUUCUCCUGCUUUUGGGUGCUGCAGGGGGAGGCAUAUUGUAUUGGGCUGGUCCCAAAAGGAAGCACUGUCAUAGUCCUCAUUAAAAUGUCUGUCUGCUAGAAAGAAAGGUCAUAGUAUUUAUGCAGAGUACCUUCUAACUGUAUUCUGGGCUGCAUCUAAAGAAGCUGACCAACAGGUUGAGGAAGGUGGUUCUGCCCCUCUACUCCACUCUCAUGAGAACCUGCCCAAAGCACUGUGUUCAGGCCUGGGGACCCCAGCAUAAGAAAAAAUGGACCUCUGGAGGAGGGCCAUGAAGAUGAUGAGAAAGGCCAGUUCUUCUAAGAGGAAAGGCUGAGAGUUGGGCUGGUUCAGCCUGGAGAAGAGAAGGCUCCAGGGACACUUUAUAGCAGCCUUCCAGUGCUUAGAGGGGGCCUACAUGAAGGCUGGAGAGGGGCUUCUUACAAGGGCAUCCGGUGAUAGGACAAGGGGGAAGGCCUUUAAACUGAAAGACAGUAGGUUUAGAUUAGAUAUUAGGAAGAAAUUCUUCGCUAUAAGGGUGGCGAGGUACUUAAACGGGUUGGCCAGAGAAGGUGUGGAUGUCCCAUCCUUGGAAGUAUUCAAGGCCAGGUUGAUGGGGGGCUCUGAGCACCCUGGUCUAGUGG
Long non-coding RNA from Parus major (Great Tit), 2787 nucleotides. RefSeq lists it as uncharacterized. The transcript has 3 exons. Lineage: Eukaryota; Metazoa; Chordata; Aves; Passeriformes; Paridae. The record is from RefSeq and is a predicted model, not a curated record.